RNAcentral lists this long non-coding RNA (1110 nucleotides) under Brassica rapa (field mustard). Its description in RNAcentral is "long non-coding RNA (BRAP_LNC002565)". Lineage: Eukaryota; Viridiplantae; Streptophyta; Magnoliopsida; Brassicales; Brassicaceae. The record is from RNAcentral.
GAAGCUUGUUCUGAUCAGGCACAUCACAGUUGCUUCUCUUGGCUUUGGUGAAGGGACGAUCACGACUUCUGACCAACUUCUCAUCAUCGCACCUGUUUUGUCUCUUCUUUUGUUUCUGCACAAUGUCAAACCCAUUAGAAGCAAACUGUUUCUUAUCAAAAAUCAAUUGCUCCUUUUCAAAAACAGUUUUAAAAGGAAAGUAGACGUCUUGUUGUGGUUUUGAUUUCUUGAGAAGUCCAAACAUCCUGAAAACACUUAACAAAGUUAGCAAAUAAAAAUCCUCACACUCUCAAGUGUUUAGCUCACGAUUUUUAGAUGGUCACUCAGAGUUCUUUCACUGGUUCAAAGGAUGAUAGGCAGUAAAAAAUCAGCAGUCAAAACUCAAAACAAACUUUAAGGGAAAAAGAAAAGAAAAGAAAAAUGAAGAGAUUUUUGUGUGGAUCCGCCUUAACUGUCCUAAGGCUGGGUUUCUCUUCAGCCAGCAGGGUUUCUCUUCCACCACUCCCCCUGGAUUUCUCUUCAGAAGUGAUUCAAGCCAAAACUUUCACUCUUUUUUUUUUUUGAUCGAUUUUUUUUUUUCUCCUUUUUUUUUUUUUUUUUUUUAAAUAACUGGCGAUCACAAGGGAGUAAAGGAACAGCCCGGAUCCAAAAAGAAAUAAGAAAAGAAAAUCGUGGAGAGAUGAGAAGAUGAAAUGAAAACAAACCAGCCAAAGUGGCUCUGAUACCACUUGAUAGAACCAAAAUCGGGAAGGAUCACUUUAGCUGGGUGUUGGAUAUGAACCGAGAAGCAAAUGGCGCUUCUGGAACUGAGAUGGAUUGAAAGGAUCGUCAAGAGAUGCGGAAUGGCUCUUGAUAUACCCACGAUCUAAGGCUAACCACCUAAGAACGAAUGUAGUGUGUUGGCUAACCACCAAACGACACACAAAGAUGAUUGGCUGACCACCAAAUCAACAAGCCGGUUCAAACCGAUGAACUAGCUAAGAACUCUCUCUCUCACACUCAGAGAAGAAACUAAAUAAACAACCAAAAUGAACUGAUUUUAUUCAUCAAAGGGACUACAUAUUUAUAGUGUUUUGUAGUCAAAGACAAUAAAAGAAAAUGUGGGAAAAC